This 259-nucleotide non-coding RNA is filed under the name Lachnospiraceae bacterium. Its description in RNAcentral is "T-box sequence". It matches the Rfam family "T-box leader". Rfam says of the family: Uncharged tRNA acts as the effector for transcription antitermination of genes in the T-box leader family. T-boxes are found upstream of many aminoacyl-tRNA synthetase genes and some amino acid biosynthetic genes usually in Gram-positive bacteria. The record is from RNAcentral. Lineage: Bacteria; Bacillati; Bacillota; Clostridia; Lachnospirales; Lachnospiraceae.
UCAAAGGCUAUGAAGAGAAGAGUAAGUAGUUAGAUAUGUUACAGAGAGUCUGGUAAGGUGAGAACAGGCACAAAAGGAACUACUGAAAAUGGUCUCGGAGCUGCGUACCGAAGCUGUUAUGCCAAGGCUGCGACGGGUUCACCCGUUAUAGUGAUAGACUAUCGAUGAAUCAUUUCUCGUCCGUAGUUGAUAAGGCUUAUAUCGUGAGAUAUAAGUAAAUUUAGGGUGGUAACACGAAGCGAAUGCUCUCGUCCCUGAA